This 432-nucleotide ribosomal RNA is filed under the name uncultured bacterium. RNAcentral describes it as "partial 16S ribosomal RNA". It matches the Rfam family "Bacterial small subunit ribosomal RNA", at positions 28 to 507 of the family's 1533-position model. The record is from RNAcentral.
AACGAACGCUGGCGGCAUGCCUAACACAUGCAAGUCGAACGAGACCUUCGGGUCUAGUGGCGCACGGGUGCGUAACGCGUGGGAACCUGCCCUUAGGUUCGGAAUAACUCCCCGAAAGGGGUGCUAAUACCGGAUAAUGUCUUCGGACCAAAGAUUUAUCGCUUUUGGAUGGGCGCGCGUUGGAUUGGCUGGUUGGUAGGGGAAAAGCCGACCAAGGCCGCGAUCCAUAGCUGGUCGGAGAGGAUGAUCAGCGACACUGGGAUUGGGACCAGGCCCAUACCCCUGGGGGGGGCGGGGGAAGGGAAUAUGGGAAAGGGGGCGAAAGCCUGCACCGCCAAGUGCGGGGUGGGGGUGAAGGCUUUGGGGUUGUAAAUCUCUUUUACCCGGGAUUGAAUGACGGUAACGGGGAAAAAAGCCCCCGCCUACUCCGGG